RNAcentral lists this long non-coding RNA (1414 nucleotides) under Marmota monax (woodchuck). Lineage: Eukaryota; Metazoa; Chordata; Mammalia; Rodentia; Sciuridae. The record is from RNAcentral.
UCCUGGCUUGCAGAAAGAACUCUUUAUUAAUAAUCUUAAUUUGAAUGGUCACACCUUGGAAGCACACAGAAUGGUAAGAAAGGAAGCCUGGGGUUCGGCUGCAGUCCUGGGGUGGGGGCCGGGGCGAGGGGUCUGAGCUGCUGCGAGAAAAGGGUCCAGAACAGCCGAGGGCGGGGGCUCUGCGGAGGGCGGAGGGGAAUAGAAAAGGAGGGUCGUCCCAGAGCUUCGGUACUGACGCUGAAUAGAAAGUGAGGUGUCAUUUACUUUUGAAGUUUCAUGAGACAGUGGAGCUGUGUGGGGAGCCCGUGUGGGGUUUUUUGCUGCUUCCCUACUCCAGCUAUCCCUGCCUUGCCGGGGCUCCUCGCUGCCACCGCCACCUGCUCUCUGCACCACCGGCCUCCGUCCCACGUCUCUCACCUGCCAGAAGCCUGGAGGGGUGUGGCCCAGCUGGCCUCCCGCCUCCCUCCCCCUUCUGUGGGCCCUGCCCUGGCUUGUUCGUCUGUACCCUAGCACCGUGACUCCCCACCUGGCAACACAGCUGGGUGCUGGCCCGCCCUGGCCCCUCAGCUCCCUGGCUGGGGAGGGGUGGGGAGGGCUGGGUUCCAACAGGUUGGCCUCAGUCCCAUAGGCCGGGCCCAGGGCCCCUCCAAGAAAGGACAGAGAUGGCCACUAGGUGCAGGUGCUCUGCCUCAGGGCCCACCAGUCCACUGGGCUUCGUCUGCUCUGCUCUGCUCUGCUCUGCCGCUGGGGCACUCUCAACAUGGGGCGGAGGGCGAGGGGCACCCAGAGUUCUGGAGCCACAUGGGCCCUUGCGUUGGAGUUGGACCCCAGGGCUGCUGGUCGGACAGCUAAGGACACGGACGGCACCGCAGGGCCUGCGGGGAGCAACGUAGGUGAUGGGGCCAUGCUGGAGCCCCAGGGAUGACAAGCCACCGGCCCGCCCUGCACCCGCACCCAGCCCCGCCAGGGCACAGCUGGCAACAGAUUGCGUCCUGCUGGCUGCUCUUCUGGCUCAGGCCAGGCCUGCUCCACCGCUGAGCCCCACGCCUGUGGAGCAGGAGCCGGGGAAGGCAGACUGGCUAGAGCCCCUGCUGGCCACCAUCAGGCCUUUCCCCUCCAACUCUCCCACUGCGCCCGCUGGGAAGGACACGUCCCCACAGCGCCGCCAGCUGGGCAGGGCCGCUCUCCACGUGCCCUGUGGGCCGUGCUCCUCGGUGCGGUGUGCGACAGACGCGGACUUGGACUCGGUUGGAUGCCUCUGGGUUGGUUGGUUUUUUUGUUGCUUGGAUCUUAACAUCUUUUUUUUUGUUUUGUUUUUUGUUUUGUGAUUUUUUUUGUUUUUUUGUUUUUGCCCUUCAUGGUCCGAGAAGGAAACGGUGGAAGGUUUCACUACAACAGAAACAGAAAGGCGGCA